GUCGAGCGGAAACGAAGAGGUGCUUGCACCUCUGGCGUCGAGCGGCGGACGGGUGAGUAAUGCUUGGGAAUAUGCCUUAUGGUGGGGGACAACAGUUGGAAACGACUGCUAAUACCGCAUGAUGUCUACGGACCAAAGUGGGGGACCUUCGGGCCUCACGCCAUAAGAUUAGCCCAAGUGGGAUUAGCUAGUUGGUGAGGUAAUGGCUCACCAAGGCGACGAUCCCUAGCUGGUUUGAGAGGAUGAUCAGCCACACUGGGACUGAGACACGGCCCAGACUCCUACGGGAGGCAGCAGUGGGGAAUAUUGCACAAUGGGCGCAAGCCUGAUGCAGCCAUGCCGCGUGUGUGAAGAAGGCCUUCGGGUUGUAAAGCACUUUCAGUAAGGAGGAAAGGUUAAGUGUUAAUAGCACUUAG
This 416-nucleotide ribosomal RNA is filed under the name uncultured prokaryote. RNAcentral describes it as "bacterial SSU rRNA". It matches the Rfam family "Bacterial small subunit ribosomal RNA", at positions 61 to 482 of the family's 1533-position model. The record is from RNAcentral.